This is a non-coding RNA of Doryrhamphus excisus (bluestripe pipefish), 933 nucleotides long. The record is from RefSeq and is a predicted model, not a curated record. Lineage: Eukaryota; Metazoa; Chordata; Actinopteri; Syngnathiformes; Syngnathidae.
UUCUCCUUGUUGUCUUGCUCCGUAGGGGGCGACGUGGGGGAUUUCACGCUCCCCACGGCGACAGCCUGAGUGACCGUGACACCUCCGCCGGGAGCCGGGCUGUUCUUUUCCACCGUUUCCACCUUGAUAAGCCGGUGCUUUGGCGACACGAACUUGAUAUCCGGCGCCCCCACGGCGGUCACGCUGCCGGAGCCGAAUGCUAUAGUUCCCCCGGGAGUGUACGGGUCCUCGAAGUCCAGCUCCUUCUGUAGUUUGUAGGCGGCCAGAAUGUCCGGCUGAGCGGGGAAAGUAGCUCCGGAGAUGGCCGCUUGGAAGCCAGGCGUACCGGGCACACCGGUGAGGCAGGAUCGGUAGUCCGGUUUCGGGGGCGCCGGAGGAGGUGCUUUGGUAGUUUUGAAUCCGAGGAGUCCGAACCUGGUCGUGGUGGUGGUGGUGGUGAAGUCCCCGGGUCGUCAGCCGGUCCUGGCUGGAAACGAAGAGCCCAAAGUGGGCCUCCUCCUCUUGUUCCUCCAUACCUGAGACCGUCCACUGCCACCUGCUGGACACGUGACACGCAAAGGCACUCGAGCACCGAGCUCGUCCAAUCUCCAGUGACGUCAUCAAUAACAUCGCAUUGUCGAUAUGUGUAUUGUAUACUGUAUGUAUGAGUUAUAUGGGAACAAUUUAACAAUAUAUAUGUAAUAAUACACAACAAAGCAAAGCAACAAUAUAAAAUGUAGUAAAUAGUGCAAAAUAACUGACUAACUUCUACAGCAUUGCGGUCAUUUAAAUCAUAUUGCCCCCAAAACACCCAACUAUAAUGAAUAAAAAUAUUGGAAUAUUUGCAUUUGUUCACUAUACAACUACCUUUAUAACAGCCAAUCAUGAUUGACGUGUAACCCUACCAUUGACAUUGGUAGAGACUCAACAGCGCCUCUGCUGGUUGCAGCCAAG